This 253-nucleotide ribosomal RNA is filed under the name uncultured bacterium. RNAcentral describes it as "partial 16S ribosomal RNA". It matches the Rfam family "Bacterial small subunit ribosomal RNA", at positions 524 to 776 of the family's 1533-position model. The record is from RNAcentral.
UACGUAGGGUGCAAGCGUUACUCGGAAUCAUUGGGUGUAAAGCGCACGUAGGCGGUUGGGGAAGUCUCUUGUGAAAGCUCCUGGCUCAACUGGGAGAGGUCAAGGGAAACUGCCUGGCUAGAGUGUGGUAGAGGAAACUGGAAUUCCCGGUGUAGCGGUGAAAUGCGUAGAUAUCGGGAGGAAUACCUAUGGCGAAAGCAGGUUUCUGGGCCAUCACUGACGCUGAGCUGCGAAAGCUAGGGGAGCAAACAGG